CUCAAGGGAACUCAGCAGUGAUAAACAUUAAGCCAUGAGUGAAAACUUGACUUAGUUAAAGCUAAGAGGGCCGGUAAAACUCGUGCCAGCCACCGCGGUUAUACGAGAGGCCCAAGUUGACAAACACCGGCGUAAAGAGUGGUUAAGUUAUAAACCUCAUACUAAAGCCAAACAUCUUCAAGGCUGUUAUACGCAACCGAAGACAGGAAGUUCAACCACGAAAGUGACUUUAUUUGAUCUGAACCCACGAAAGCUAAGGAACAAACUGGGAUUAGAUACCCCACUAUGCCUAGCCCUAAACAUUGAUAGUACUAUACACCCACUAUCCGCCCGGGAACUACGAGCAAUAGCUUAAAACCCAAAGGACUUGGCGGUGCUUUAGAUCCACCUAGAGGAGCCUGUUCUAGAACCGAUACCCCCCGUUCAACCUCACCCUUCCUUGUUUAACCCGCCUAUAUACCGCCGUCGUCAGCUUACCCUGUGAGGGGCCAAUAGUAAGCAAAACUGGUACAACCUAAAACGUCAGGUCGAGGUGUAGCGUAUGGAGGGGGAAGAAAUGGGCUACAUUCGCUACUACAGCGAACACGAAUGAUGUCCUGAAACGUACAUCUGAAGGAGGAUUUAGCAGUAAGCAGGAAAUAGAGCGUCCCGCUGAAACUGGCCCUGAAGCGCGCACACACCGCCCGUCACUCUCCCCAAAAACACCAAUCAACUAAUUAAAACCUAAUAAUUUAAA
Molecule: ribosomal RNA, 736 nt
Filed under: Artediellus uncinatus (Arctic hookear sculpin)
Lineage: Eukaryota; Metazoa; Chordata; Actinopteri; Perciformes; Cottidae
Description: partial 12S ribosomal RNA
Rfam family: Bacterial small subunit ribosomal RNA
Source: RNAcentral